This 2712-nucleotide unclassified non-coding RNA is filed under the name Hevea brasiliensis (rubber tree). Lineage: Eukaryota; Viridiplantae; Streptophyta; Magnoliopsida; Malpighiales; Euphorbiaceae. The record is from RNAcentral.
GGACCUUGUGAAGUGUGAUGGGGCAGCACUUUAUUACCAAGGAAAGUACCAUCCAUUAGGUGUGACCCCAACUGAAGUCCAAAUAAAAGAUAUUGUGGUGUGGUUGUUGGCAUUUCAUGGAGAUUCAACCGGUUUGAGCACAGAUAGUUUGGCUGAUGCUGGGUACCCUGGGGCAGCCUUGCUGGGUGAUGCUGUUUGUGGGAUGGCUGUUGCUUAUAUCACUAAGAGAGAUUUCUUAUUCUGGUUUCGGUCUCACACCGCGAAGGAGAUCAAAUGGGGUGGCGCAAAGCAUCAUCCGGGGGACAAGGAUGAUGGCCAGAGGAUGCAUCCACGUUCUUCAUUCAAGGCAUUUUUGGAGGUGGUAAAGAGCCGUAGUUUACCAUGGGAGAAUGCUGAAAUGGAUGCAAUUCACUCUUUGCAGCUUAUUCUUCGAGACUCAUUUAGGGAUGCUGAAGCAAGCAAUUCCAAAGCUAUUGCAAAUACCCAACUUGGGGAUCUGGAGUUGCAAGGGAUGGAUGAACUCAGCUCAGUGGCAAGGGAAAUGGUUAGGCUAAUAGAGACUGCAACUGCUCCUAUAUUUGCUGUAGAUGUUGAUGGCUGCAUAAAUGGUUGGAAUGCAAAAGUUGCUGAGUUGACAGGGCUCUCAGUUGAGGAAGCUAUGGGAAAGUCUUUGGUUCAUGAUCUUGUUUAUAAGGAGUAUGAAGAAACUGUUGGCAAGCUUCUUUCUCAUGCUUUAAGAGGCAAAGAAGAUAAGAAUGUAGAAAUAAAAUUGAGGACAUUUGGCUCUGAACAAGAAAAGAAGGCUGUUUUUGUGGUGGUGAAUGCUUGUUCUAGCAAAGAUUACAUGAAUAAUAUAGUUGGAGUGUGCUUUGUUGGUCAGGAUAUUACUGGUCAAAAAGUGGUAAUGGACAAAUUCAUCCAUAUCCAAGGUGAUUACAGGGCUAUUGUUCAUAGUCCAAAUCCUUUGAUCCCUCCGAUAUUUGCUUCAGAUGAAAACACUUGCUGCUUGGAGUGGAACACUGCAAUGGAAAAGCUUACAGGGUGGACCCGAGGAGAAAUUAUUGGGAAGAUGUUGGUUGGGGAGGUUUUUGGCAGUUGCUGUCGGCUGAAGGGUCCAGAUGCAUUGACAAAAUUCAUGAUUGUCCUGCACAGUGCAAUUGGAGGACAGGAUACAGACAAAUAUCCAUUUUCCUUCUUGGAUCGGAAUGGAAAAUUUGUCCAAGCUCUUUUGACAGCAAACAAAAGGAUAGAUAUGGGGGGCCAGAUUAUUGGAGCCUUCUGCUUCUUGCAGAUUGCAAGUCAUGAGUUGCAGCAAGCUUUGAAAGUCCAGAGGCAACAGGAGAAGAAAUGCUUUACAAGGAUGAAAGAGUUGGCUUACAUUUGCCAGGAAAUAAAGAAUCCUCUAAGUGGUAUACGGUUUACAAACUCACUGUUGGAGGCUACAGACUUGACUGAGGAUCAAAAGCAGUUUCUUGAAACGAGUGCUGCUUGUGAGAAGCAGAUGUUGAAGAUCAUUCGAGAUGUUGAUCUGGAGAGUAUUGAAGAUGGUUCACUGGAGCUUGAGAAGGCUCAAUUCUUACUUGGGAGUGUCAUAGAUGCUGUAGUUAGCCAAGUAAUGUUAUUGCUGAGGGAAAGAAAUCUGCAAUUGAUUCGUGAUAUUCCAGAGGAAAUAAAAUCUCUGGCUGUAUAUGGUGAUCAGGUGAGAAUUCAACAGGUGUUGGCUGAUUUCUUGUUGAAUAUGGUGCGUUGUGCACCAUCUUCAGAAGGUUGGGUAGAGAUUCAUGUUCGUCCAACACUGAAGCAAGCCUCUGAUGGACUUACUGUUGUGCAUACAGAAUUCAGGAUGGUUUGCCCUGGUGAAGGUCUUUCUCCUGAAUUAGUUCAAGACAUGUUCCACAGCAGUCGAUGGACAACUCAAGAAGGCCUGGGGCUCAGCAUGUGCAGGAAGAUUUUGAAGCUAAUGCAAGGUGAAGUACAAUACAUCAGAGAGUCAGAAAGAUGUUAUUUCCUAGUUAUCCUUGAUCUUCCCUUGGCUCGGAGAGGUGCAAAAAGUGUUGACUAGCAUUUUUAGCCCUGGAGAUAUGCUGAAGAGCUUUCUCAAUUUUGACCACAACAUUGGUGAUGCAACUCAUGAAGACCAUUUUCAAAUCCCAGUUACGAGGUUUAAUCUUGUACCAAAGGCACCUGAUUAGGCUAAUCUUUAAGGUAAUACAGCUGUUUCAUUCCAUCCGUUUCAAACAUGUUUGAUGCUUUUCCAUUGACACUAGCUUGAAUUAGCAACCUUGGUGGCUGAUAAAUGUUUGCCUAGAAGCGUAAUGAUCUCAUUGAUAUGGUUAUGCCAUAUCAGAAUGUGGAAGUUGUGCUGUCAUGUAAUCAAGAAGCAAGGAAUGGAUCUUAGUACAUUUUUGUGAAGGCUUGCAUGAUAAAAGAGUCUUGCAGUUGGACUAAAUUGCAUCUGUAUCUUGCUGUAAGUAAAUAUUUCUAUCAUAUCUUCUCCUCAAGAUUAACAUAGCAUAUGGUCAGGCUACUUCCAAUCCUCCAGAGCUAGUAUUCUAAUAGUUUUAUUUUUUUUUAAUAAUAAUUUGAAAUGUCCAGCUCUGGUAUUUAGGAUGAGAAUUCUGACUGCCUUGUUUGUAAGUGCAGAUUGUUAUGGUGCUAGUGGGUUUUGAGGACAGAUUAUAAUGGAUAUAUGGUUCAUAGUUGAUUAAAAAA